Molecule: non-coding RNA, 2374 nt
Organism: Danio rerio (zebrafish)
Lineage: Eukaryota; Metazoa; Chordata; Actinopteri; Cypriniformes; Danionidae
Source: RefSeq, a predicted model, not a curated record
CUGCUAUAGUGUUUCUGCCGCAGCGCUGCAUGCUGAGGUAUCAGUGAAGGCCUGAUUCUGCAGUGUGUUUGUGUUUGUUCGUUCAGCUAAAGCAGAUGGCCUCACCCUUCACUGAGAUGGAGUGCUACACUAUUUUCUUCUCUCUGGUUUUGUUCAGUCUUGUUACACUUCAUGGCCUAAUACAAGAGAAAUGCACGCAUACUACAGACAAUGGAGGUAUGAAAGGAAGACUUGAGGAGCCACUGAUCGUCUGAGUCCGGUUGAUGUCAUACACCAUGGUCAGUCCCGGAUCAGUCCUGACCUGUAUUCUGCUGCCUUUAUUGCACCUAAAACGUGAUCACCUGGACUGGAUCCAGCUGCAAACUCAGGAGUGGAAGUGUGUGUGUUAUGGAUCAUCUGUUUUCAGUUUUUGAGUUGGUCUUCAUCUUCAUUGCCUUCACUAUCAUGUGCUUAUUUGGCCUGGCUGCCAUCUACACCUAUAAUACAGAUCAUCAAGGUGAUUGAAUUCAGACAGAGCAGAUCACAUAACAAAUCAACUCGAAGAAAAUGUCCUCGAUAAACAGGCCCGACUCACCAAAAGCUGUUAACCAAUGGACAGAAGUGAAAUCUGAAAUCACAUACAGGUUUAUAUAUAGUAGGUGAAAAAAACAGUAUGUGACAAAAAGAAGCAUGCCUGAAUUUAAAAUGCGGGAAAAGGGUACAAGGAUGACAACAUGGCAACUGAAUGUCCAGAUUAUAUGUAUACCACACUAUAUUGGCCCUAUAUAAUUGCCAUCGAUUAACCACCCAGCCAGGUGGCCAGGUGAUGUCAGAUUGUAGUUUUGGAGACUUUUUGAGCCUAAGAUUUUGGGCCAUUUGAACCAUUGUCCUAUAACAGUAGCUGAGGUUUCCUCAUCCUGUGUUAAUGCAUACUUUGAAGAAGUGAUGAAAAUGCCAAAUUUUUUAUGAAAAAAUCCCUUAAUUCGCAAACAAACUUUUUAUAAGCUCACUUGAGCUGGCUUUGGACUUGUGUGAAAAAGGUUUAAUGCAAAUAUUGGGAGAUGAAAACUCCUUUUUAGAAUAAAAUGAUGUAGCGAACAUUAAACCCACAUGAUUCCAUUAUGCUUGCCUUGUUUACUGUUAGUUUCUAGGUUACCAAUACUACAGUCGGUUGCUCUAAAAACAUGAUGGAAACACACCUAAUUAGGAUAUGUUUAUAUUUUUUAACGAAAAUUUGAAAAGAUUCACUUUAAGUUAGGGUGCAAACCUGGCUAGUGAUAAAGUGAUUCAACUGAUUCAUAAGACUUGGAGUUGAGUGUAAUUUCUAAAUGAUUUCCCUAAUGUCAGAAACCGGGUAUGUCGUGGCAUUUUCUGUGUUAUUGUUAUUUUUAUAAGAGCCACUUCCUAUUUUGUAAAGCUCAGCAACACUUUUGCUGUAAAUCACAGUUCUGUUCUUUGGUCUUCCCCAUUGUGCUGAAUGACUGAGUGAGUUUGGCCUUUGUGUUACCUCAUAUUUAUAGCCCUGUGAAACAGGAGGUCGUGAUUCUAGUCACCCAGGUGUAAAAAAAAGGAAAGGAAAAUAUCAAUGUGAAUAUACUUAAAAAAAUGCUCAUAUAAAUUCAUAGCAGUGUAAAUAAUGGUGGCACACAUACAUUUAACAGAUAUAUUUGUUGUUCAUAAAACAAAUGGAUCCAUUUAAUGUUAAUGAGCAAAAGAUUUCAUAGCCAGUUUCAUAGCCUUUUUUUUUUUGCUCAUAUUUCAUCUUAAGGGUGCCAAUAUUAGUGUAAUGCACUGUAGAAUGCACAUUUAAGUGGUUGCCAAGUAAUUACUUAAUCUCCUCAAGAGAGCAUGUGAUUUCGGAAGCAGCCAGCCUGUGUAUCUGAAGAUCUCUGAGACUGAGAAUUCCCUCAGCUGUCUCUGAUUGGCUUGAAUGUAUGACCCCGAUAGGUAAUUAACCAGUGAAAGAAAGGUAAAGAGGAUUUAUUGAAAUUGAAACCCCUCCUCUUUCCCCUCUUAAAGCUGCUUAACAUUUGUAAUGUAAUUUAAAACCUGUUGGGAGUUCUUAUGUUACCUGUUCUUACACUUUGGAAGGCAGACUAUUGGUGGUGGAAGUCUUUAGCAAUAAAAAUAGAAAAAUGUGUACUACUGAAGGUAUUUUGUAUAUUUAUAUUACAUUGUAUAUACACAAGUUAUUUCCAUUAAGUAAUACUGUGAUUUUUAUAUGCUUUUGGCUGUAUUGUAUUUAAUUUUCCACUUAUAGCUUUGUCACUUUUCUAUGUUAAAAUAAUAUAACAGUAAUCGAAAAUGGUUACUUUCCUUGUGUAAUGUCAAGGGAACAUUUUAUUUCAAAAUGGAAAUGUAUUUUGUUUAUUAAAAUGUGAAAUUAAUGUUUUAA